Small nuclear RNA from Octodon degus (degu), 104 nucleotides. Lineage: Eukaryota; Metazoa; Chordata; Mammalia; Rodentia; Octodontidae. The record is from Ensembl.
GCUCGCUUCAGCUGAACAUAUACUAAAACUGAAACGAUACAGAGAAGAUUAGCAUGGCUCCUGCACAAAGAUGACGUACAAAUCAUGAAGCGUUCCAUAUUUUU